This 440-nucleotide ribosomal RNA is filed under the name uncultured bacterium. RNAcentral describes it as "partial 16S ribosomal RNA". It matches the Rfam family "Bacterial small subunit ribosomal RNA", at positions 338 to 795 of the family's 1533-position model. The record is from RNAcentral.
CCUACGGGUGGCAGCAGUGGGGAAUAUUGCACAAUGGGGGAAACCCUGAUGCAGCGACGCCGCGUGAGUGAAGAAGUAAUUCGUUAUGUAAAGCUCUAUCAGAAGGGAAGAAAAUGACGGUACCUGAGUAAGAAGCCCCGGCUAACAACGUGUCAGCAGCCGCGGUAAUACGUAGGGGGCAAGCGUUAUCCGGGUUUACUGGGGGGAAAGGGAGCGUAGACGGCAGUGCAAGUCUGGAGUGAAAGGCGGGGGCUCAACCCCCGGACUGCUCUGGAAACUGUACGGCUGGAGUGCAGGAGAGGUAAGUGGAAUUCCUAGUGUAGCGGUGAAAUGCGUAGAUAUUAGGAGGAACACCAGUGGCGAAGGCGGCUUACUGGACUGUAACUGACGUUGAGGCUCGAAAGCGUGGGGAGCAAACAGGAUUAGAUACCCUGGUAGUC